This 632-nucleotide long non-coding RNA is filed under the name Chinchilla lanigera (long-tailed chinchilla). RNAcentral describes it as "lncRNA (ENSCLAG00000023070.1)". The record is from RNAcentral. Lineage: Eukaryota; Metazoa; Chordata; Mammalia; Rodentia; Chinchillidae.
GCAGAGAGGAAGGAAGUAGGGCUUCCUGCAGCUGCCUACCCAGAGGAAAAAGGAAUUAGAUAAAGUGAAAGGUAUUUCUCAGAGAUGCACCCAAAGCUGCUUCUGUUUCCUUGUAUCCUUUUUAAGGGUCCAGUUUUUAGGACAAUAUGAUCCAAAGUGACUAAAGGGAAUUAACUACGUCCUUGAGGAAUUCCUACUAGGUCAGGGCCAGAAGCGCUCGUCUAGCCAUAUGUGGAAGAUCCUCAAGUUGUGAGAUCAGUGGUUGGCAUGCUUCUCCACUUCUGGAAGCCGGGCAUGGCUAACCAACCUGGGAUUUCUACCAGGGGACUUUGACAGACGAAACAGUCCAGGUGAGCUCUGGAGCUUCAGAAGAAACUGGCCUUGGUUUGUUAGAUUAAAGUUUUGGUUGCACAUCCUAUUUGAUCAACCCCUCAAUCUGUUGACUAUGUUGACUGUUUUACAAAUAAUACUCCAGUGUGUGUAGAAGAGACCUGAGGAUGUGAGGUACACUUGGAUACCUGUAUAUAUCUCAAAAAUUCAGCAAGAAGAUGCGGUCUGUAUCCUGUACAACUGCGCAUAUGGGCUGUUCAGGGGUACAGUCAGGACAAGGCUUCCGACUUGCUGGACUCCAA